GUAUUUUUAAGGAAGGUACAAGAAUAUCGGCAAUCACAGGAUGCGGGGUGAGGUAAUCAGCGGGGGGCAAGAGGGUGACAGCUGGCAAGCCAGCGAGCUAGCUGGUUUGUUUACGUGAUUUCCCCUCAACUCGUUUCUAUAGGGAUGUUUAUGUUGUUGCAAAUUAGUGUGUGAAGCUCAAGAAUAAGGCAAGUGAACCCGAGAAUGAACCUAAAUGUUUAUCUCCUUUUCAUUUCAUUUUUUUACCAGGUACCUUCGUUGUGUGCGGUGGAGGGCCAAAUAAGAAACAUCACGCCGUAGUUAUCGACCGGUUCCCAAGUGCCAUCGAAAAAUACCGAAGCUUGGUUUCCUUUUGCGGACGCAGUGACGGCUGGAUUCGCCAAAGAAUCAGAGGAUCUGCUCGAUUUCUCCCUGCAGCCGCUAUGACGAAGGAUUUCGUAUACGGCUAAAGGAAUUGGAAUAAAAAUGUGUCACCAGUUGUAGGGGUAGGCGGGGCAUUAUGGACACCCUAAGGUUUUUGCCAACUUUACCUGGCAAGAUGUCAAAAAAGUUUAGUUUUUUGAUACAUGUAUCCUUUUAAAGUCUAUUUAGCAUCUAUUGCAUAAGAAUGCUCACGAAGAAAAAUGAUUUAUCCACUUCAAAAAAUGUUGCGAAAAAUGUUAGUUUUUCAUGACCGUCUUCAAGCAUACGGGGCAGAAUGGUCACCCCCAUGGGGCAAUAUGGACACCAUGAGACUUUUACGAAUUUCGUACAUUAUUUACACCUAUAAAGUGAGUGUCCAUUUUGCCCCGGCAGCAGAAGAUAUUUCCAAACUUAAUUUUUGAUAUAAUAAAGAAGAAAAUAUAAACAUGUUAAGCAUGUAGAUACAGCAAAACUACUUGCAUGUGUUCUAGAAAUAUCAGGUUUUAAUCGACCUGCAAUAAAUUAAUCACUAAAUCUUAUUUUAGAUGGUGUAAAAAUUAUAA
Aedes albopictus (Asian tiger mosquito) is the source of this 965-nucleotide long non-coding RNA. RefSeq lists it as uncharacterized. NCBI's taxonomy places the organism in Eukaryota, Metazoa, Arthropoda, Insecta, Diptera, Culicidae. The record is from RefSeq and is a predicted model, not a curated record. The transcript is spliced from 2 exons.